RNAcentral lists this unclassified non-coding RNA (349 nucleotides) under soil metagenome. RNAcentral's name for it is "partial contains 5.8S ribosomal RNA, internal transcribed spacer 2, and large subunit ribosomal RNA". The stretch from base 1 to 120 matches the Rfam family "5.8S ribosomal RNA", at positions 35 to 154 of the family's 154-position model. The record is from RNAcentral.
GAUGAAGAACGUAGCGAAAUGCGAUAAGUAAUGUGAAUUGCAGAAUUCCGUGAAUCAUCGAAUCUUUGAACGCAUAUUGCGCCCUCUGGUAUUCCGGAGGGCAUGCCUGUCCGAGCGUCAUUACUAUCUUCAAGCACGGCUUGGUGGUUGAGCCAAUUGUCCUUUUAAUGGACAGGCUUAAAAUCCAGUGGCGAUGCGGAGUCCUGGUGCCCGAGCGUAUGGAGCUCUGUCACACGCUUUAGUGGUCUAGCCGGCAUUUUCGUCGAUUCAACCUUAAGAAAAACCUAAGAUUUGACCUCGGAUCAGGUAAGGAUACCCGCUGAACUUAAGCAUAUCAAUAAGCGGAGGA